This 37-nucleotide small nuclear RNA is filed under the name Cavia porcellus (domestic guinea pig). The record is from RNAcentral. Lineage: Eukaryota; Metazoa; Chordata; Mammalia; Rodentia; Caviidae.
GUAUUGCAUGAAAGGAGAGAAGGUUAGCACUGCCCUA